AGGUGGGGCUGAUGACUGGGGUGAAGUCGUAACAAGGUAGCCGUACCGGAAGGUGCGGCUGGAUCACCUCCUAACAGGGAGACAACAACUGAUCAUGAUGUCUGAGUAAUUUAUUCUUAGGCCUUGAUCCUGUCACCUUAGGUCGAUCGGUACCUCAAAUUGAGGGUUAAUUGAAAAUCGAUUUUGAUUAUUAAUUGACUCAAUUUCAGUUCCUAAACUUUGUCUAGGUCACACCCAACAAGGGUACUCCUGGGCCAUUAGCUCAGGUGGUUAGAGCGCACCCCUGAUAAGGGUGAGGUCCCUGGUUCAAGUCCAGGAUGGCCCAUUCGGUGUUGGGGGUAUAGCUCAGUUGGUAGAGCGCCUGCUUUGCAAGCAGGAUGUCAGCGGUUCGAGUCCGCUUACCUCCACUGAUCAAACUCCUUAUUACCCAGUGAAAGGAGAUUAUCUUUGCUUGAUGUGAUUUAGACUUUAGUUUUACUUGAAGGAACCUAGCUUCCUAUCAUUCCGUUCAAAUUUAAAAUUGAAUCAGGUUGAUAAGAUGCUGGGCUCAAUACAACUCUUUAGAGAUGUAUCGUGUUCAGUAGAACCUUGACAACUGCAUAGGUAAGUCUGGAAAGAAUAAAGCAUCUCAUGGAUGCAUUUUCUGAAAGAUUUUAGUGAUCCAUGAUGUUUAAAUCAUCAUGGAUAAUUAUUGUUUUUUGGAAUAAUGUUGAUUCUUGAGCAAGAGCCGAGACUCUUUAGCGAUCUUUUGAUUCUUAAAAAGUAUCAAAUUUAGUUAUAACUAAAUUUUCGCUAUAGAGGUAAUUGGUCAAGCUACAAAGGGCUCACG
RNAcentral lists this unclassified non-coding RNA (829 nucleotides) under uncultured Prochlorococcus sp. RNAcentral's name for it is "partial may contain 16S ribosomal RNA, 16S-23S ribosomal RNA intergenic spacer, and 23S ribosomal RNA". The stretch from base 335 to 407 matches the Rfam family "tRNA". Lineage: Bacteria; Bacillati; Cyanobacteriota; Cyanophyceae; Synechococcales; Prochlorococcaceae. The record is from RNAcentral.